RNAcentral lists this ribosomal RNA (1383 nucleotides) under Lacticaseibacillus rhamnosus. RNAcentral's name for it is "bacterial SSU rRNA". It matches the Rfam family "Bacterial small subunit ribosomal RNA", at positions 68 to 1433 of the family's 1533-position model. The record is from RNAcentral. Lineage: Bacteria; Bacillati; Bacillota; Bacilli; Lactobacillales; Lactobacillaceae.
GGUGCUUGCAUCUUGAUUUAAUUUUGAACGAGUGGCGGACGGGUGAGUAACACGUGGGUAACCUGCCCUUAAGUGGGGGAUAACAUUUGGAAACAGAUGCUAAUACCGCAUAAAUCCAAGAACCGCAUGGUUCUUGGCUGAAAGAUGGCGUAAGCUAUCGCUUUUGGAUGGACCCGCGGCGUAUUAGCUAGUUGGUGAGGUAACGGCUCACCAAGGCAAUGAUACGUAGCCGAACUGAGAGGUUGAUCGGCCACAUUGGGACUGAGACACGGCCCAAACUCCUACGGGAGGCAGCAGUAGGGAAUCUUCCACAAUGGACGCAAGUCUGAUGGAGCAACGCCGCGUGAGUGAAGAAGGCUUUCGGGUCGUAAAACUCUGUUGUUGGAGAAGAAUGGUCGGCAGAGUAACUGUUGUCGGCGUGACGGUAUCCAACCAGAAAGCCACGGCUAACUACGUGCCAGCAGCCGCGGUAAUACGUAGGUGGCAAGCGUUAUCCGGAUUUAUUGGGCGUAAAGCGAGCGCAGGCGGUUUUUUAAGUCUGAUGUGAAAGCCCUCGGCUUAACCGAGGAAGUGCAUCGGAAACUGGGAAACUUGAGUGCAGAAGAGGACAGUGGAACUCCAUGUGUAGCGGUGAAAUUGCGUAGAUAUAUGGAAGAACACCAGUGGCGAAGGCGGCUGUCUGGUCUGUAACUGACGCUGAGGCUCGAAAGCAUGGGUAGCGAACAGGAUUAGAUACCCUGGUAGUCCAUGCCGUAAACGAUGAAUGCUAGGUGUUGGAGGGUUUCCGCCCUUCAGUGCCGCAGCUAACGCAUUAAGCAUUCCGCCUGGGGAGUACGACCGCAAGGUUGAAACUCAAAGGAAUUGACGGGGGCCCGCACAAGCGGUGGAGCAUGUGGUUUAAUUCGAAGCAACGCGAAGAACCUUACCAGGUCUUGACAUCUUUUGAUCACCUGAGAGAUCAGGUUUCCCCUUCGGGGGCAAAAUGACAGGUGGUGCAUGGUUGUCGUCAGCUCGUGUCGUGAGAUGUUGGGUUAAGUCCCGCAACGAGCGCAACCCUUAUGACUAGUUGCCAGCAUUUAGUUGGGCACUCUAGUAAGACUGCCGGUGACAAACCGGAGGAAGGUGGGGAUGACGUCAAAUCAUCAUGCCCCUUAUGACCUGGGCUACACACGUGCUACAAUGGAUGGUACAACGAGUUGCGAGACCGCGAGGUCAAGCUAAUCUCUUAAAGCCAUUCUCAGUUCGGACUGUAGGCUGCAACUCGCCUACACGAAGUCGGAAUCGCUAGUAAUCGCGGAUCAGCACGCCGCGGUGAAUACGUUCCCGGGCCUUGUACACACCGCCCGUCACACCAUGAGAGUUUGUAACACCCGAAGCCGGUGG